RNAcentral lists this ribosomal RNA (827 nucleotides) under uncultured bacterium. RNAcentral's name for it is "bacterial SSU rRNA". It matches the Rfam family "Bacterial small subunit ribosomal RNA", at positions 22 to 869 of the family's 1533-position model. The record is from RNAcentral.
GCUCAGGAUUAACGCUGGCGGCGUGCAUGAGACAUGCAAGUCGAACGGACGAGUGGGCUUGCUCACUCGUUAGUGGCGGACGGCUGAGUAACGCGUAGGUGACCUGCCCCGAAGUGGGGAAUAACUGCCCGAAAGGGUGGCUAAUACCGCAUGUGGUGCCACGUUCAUUCGUGUCUCCAAAGCCGCAAGGCGCUUCGGGAGGGGCCUGCGUCCGAUUAGCUCGUUGGUGGGGUAACGGCUCACCAAGGCGACGAUCGGUAGGUGGUCUGAGAGGACGAUCACCCAGACUGGGACUGAGACACGGCCCAGACUCCUACGGGAGGCAGCAGUCGGGAAUUUUGCUCAAUGGGCGCAAGCCUGAAGCAGCAACGCCGCGUGGGGGAUGAAGGCCUUCGGGUUGUAAACCUCUUUUCUUGGGGACGAUGAUGACGGUACCCGAGGAAUAAGUCACGGCUAACUACGUGCCAGCAGCCGCGGUAAUACGUAGGUGACGAGCGUUGUCCGGAUUUACUGGGCGUAAAGAGCGCGCAGGCGGUCGUGCAAGUCGAGUGUGAAAUCCCCCGGCUCAACUGGGGAACGUCGCUCGAUACUGUUUGACUUGAAGGCGGGAGAGGGAAGCGGAAUUCCCGGUGUAGUGGUGAAAUGCGUAGAUAUCGGGAGGAACACCAGUGGCGAAGGCGGCUUUCUGGCCCGUUCUUGACGCUGAGGCGCGAAAGCUAGGGUAGCAAACGGGAUUAGAUACCCCGGUAGUCCUAGCCGUAAACGAUGGACACUAGGUGUUGGUGGUAUCAACCCCGCCAGUGCCGAAGCUAACGCAUUAAGUAUCC